AAGCCCCAGUCCCACAACCCCAGCGUGCCCCAAAGGGGCUCCCUUGAGCCGUGGCCAUUCCCCCUCUUACAAGAUGGCUGCCCCAAGGCAAGGUCAGGACUUCUCCAAAGCACUGGAUAAACUUAUCAGCCUUGGGAUAAGAGGAUGAGGUCAGCAUGACAGGAGAUGAAAUUAUGGCACUUACAAACUACUGAAUGAUACACACAUCUGAUUAAGCAGCCUCUUUCCAUGAAAGUAUGUUACCAUGCCAGGUUAUUUCUAAGAGAGAACCAAGUUGGAGAAACUAUCUGAGGAUAUACACUUCUGUUUAGUUUAAUCUGAUUCGCUGCCUCCGCCCUUCCUGUGCUCUUUUGGAGAACCUGCCUUGAGUGGCUGCAGAAUAAACACGGCCCCACCUUCCGGUCAAUGCAGGGAGCUACAGAGCACCAGCCUCACCUCUGUACCUGCCAAGAGUUUGGAGUUGGUCAUAAAGAGAUGGGUUUAUAAAGGUAUUCAAGAGGCCAGAUCCUAUUUGCUUCUGAUCUGUCCAGGCCAAGGGGAGCUGGACUGCCAGAUUCUUUGUGGCUAGUGGGUUUGUUGGAGACCA
This is a non-coding RNA of Pantherophis guttatus, 586 nucleotides long. The record is from RefSeq and is a predicted model, not a curated record. NCBI's taxonomy places the organism in Eukaryota, Metazoa, Chordata, Lepidosauria, Squamata, Colubridae.